GGCCAAUCAAGUCCAUCAUCAGCGAUGCUGUCACUGUUUGCGACGCUCGCAGCCAGUAUCAUUGCGCUUCUGGACUAAACGAUUUCAAAAUGACUCGAAGGAAGUUUAAGCCUUGCCCUGCCAAGCACCUAACCAGCUGAGCCGCAAAUCCUGCAGCUCUUGUUUCACAGCCAUCUCCAAAAAACCCAAAGUAAUGGCCCAAAAAGUGUCCCUGGACAGGAAGUGGGGGGAAAGGGUCCUAAAAACGAAGAGUGGUGGACUCUGCCCAUA
Long non-coding RNA from Perca flavescens (yellow perch), 270 nucleotides. RefSeq lists it as uncharacterized. NCBI's taxonomy places the organism in Eukaryota, Metazoa, Chordata, Actinopteri, Perciformes, Percidae. The transcript is spliced from 3 exons. The record is from RefSeq and is a predicted model, not a curated record.